RNAcentral lists this long non-coding RNA (756 nucleotides) under Homo sapiens (human). RNAcentral's name for it is "HSALNT0116872". The record is from RNAcentral. Lineage: Eukaryota; Metazoa; Chordata; Mammalia; Primates; Hominidae.
AUUUUAUUGAGCCAUAUUAAAAAAGUAAAAAGACACACACUCUUCUCGUGCGACACAGAACCGGGACCCCCGUACAGAACAUUUUACUGUUUUCCCUUAAUACCCAGGAAACAUGCACUAACCUGGUAAAUACCUGCUUCAUGGAGAGUAGUCUUUCAGGAUUCAUACCCUCAGGACAUUGUUGGGGACCUACUGGACUGAACAAAGGCGGGCAACACGGGAAUAAAAGACAAGAGACAACAGAGUAUAUUUGGAAGAAGGGGUUAGGGGCACCUUGCCUUUAGUGGACAAGGGCCCUGAGCUUUACACAGCCCUCCGUAUUUAUUAGGCAAAAAGAGAUAGCGAGAAAGCUGGGGGAGGGGGGUGAUUGUCAGUCUGCCGUUUGGUUCACAGUAGUCUUGCAUUUUUUGGACAAUAGGCACUAGAUUUUUUAGGCAGAUAACUUUAAGGAGCCCGGAGCUAGGGAGUGAUGUCUGUUAGCAAACCUUUUGGUGGCAGGGCAGUGUGAGUUUGCCCACAUCCUGCAUUCAUGAUAAACAGUUUGCUGUUUGUAGCCUCCAGCGGAAUGCUGAGUUGGUCACGAAGCUCAGUCCCAUCCGCCUUUCUCAUGCCCCUUCCCUUUCCCGUCCUCCCUCCUCUCCUCUCACCUGCGUGGUAACAACGAUUGUGACACUCGGUUUUCUUAAGAGGUGCACGUGAUUCAUUUUUAAAAUUCCCUCAAAAGAACGUUUUCUUGAAUUGAAACUAAUGAUCAAA